GCCAGUCCUCUUCUGGCUGUGCCGGGUGGAGAUUAUAACAGAACAUGGCCAAGAUGUUCAAAUGUUCAUAAAUGACCAGCAUGGUCAAAUAAUAAUAAGGCAGAACAGUUGAAACUGGAGCAGCAGCACGGCCAGGUGGACUGGGGACAGCAAGGAGUCAUCAUGUCAGGUAGUCCUGGGGCAUGGUCCUAGGGCUUAGGUCCUCCGAGAGAGAGAAAGAGAGAAUUAGAGAACGCACACUUAGAUUCACACAGGACACCGAAUAGGACAGGAGAGGUACUCUAUUUUGAGCAUUAUCUACAACCUGUGUUAAGGUGUCCUCUUUAGCCUUGUCUACAGCCUGUGUUAAGGUGUCCUCUUUAGCCUUGUCUACAACCUGUGUUAAGGUGUCCUCUAUAGCCUUGUCUACAACCUGUGUUAAGGUGUCCUCUACAGCCUGUGUUAAGGUGUCCUCUUUAGCCUUGUCUACAACCUGUGUUAAGGUGUCCUCUUUAGCCUUGUCUACAGCCUGUGUUAAGGUGUCCUCUUUAGCCUUGUCUACAAUGCUUGCUGCCGCUACAUGGCGCUAGGUUUGGG
This is a long non-coding RNA of Oncorhynchus tshawytscha (Chinook salmon), 576 nucleotides long. The record is from Ensembl. NCBI's taxonomy places the organism in Eukaryota, Metazoa, Chordata, Actinopteri, Salmoniformes, Salmonidae.